Long non-coding RNA from Pan troglodytes (chimpanzee), 441 nucleotides. RefSeq lists it as uncharacterized. The transcript has 2 exons. The record is from RefSeq and is a predicted model, not a curated record. Lineage: Eukaryota; Metazoa; Chordata; Mammalia; Primates; Hominidae.
CUGGGCUGCUGUCCAAGUCAGGUGGCUCACUGUCUCUGAGAAUAUUUCACUUUCUGGUAAAUGGGGCAGUUGGAGAUAGAAGGGUUGGGUGAAUGCCAAGAGUGAGCACAGCUGAGGUCAGUGCUGUGCCUGCAGUCCAGGCGGGAGUAGAAAUCCUGGGCCCAUCUUACCUCCGACCUCAUUUCCUCCUCUGUAAUAAUGUGGGGGUGGGGGAAAGUUCUGGUCAUCAGCCCUAGCAUUCCAUGGUUCAUUUCCUCAUCAGUGAUGGAAAAUCACCAAGCAAGAGAACAGGAUGGAGAAUAACCGGAUGGGUGCAAUCGGAGGUGCUAUUUCAGGAGCUGGCCAUUCUUCAAGUCAGAAGGCCUGAGAGAGGAGCUGCCCAGGUGGUCUUCAUGGGGCUGUGUGGCCAGUCAUCCCCAACAGGUUGACAAUCCUUGUGUA